GACGAACGCUGGCGGCGUGCUUAACACAUGCAAGUCGAACGGAAAGGCCCCUUUGGGGGUACUCGAGUGGCGCACGGGUGCGUAACACGUGGGUAACCUGCCCUUGACUUCGGGAUAACUUCAGGAAACUGGGGCUAAUACCGGAUAGGAAUCCUUGCUGCAUGGUGGGGGUUGGAAAGCUUCGGCGGUUUUGGAUGGACUCGCGGCUUAUCAGCUUGUUGGUGGGGUAGUGGCUUACCAAGGCUUUGACGGGUAGCCGGCCUGAGAGGGCGACCGGCCACAUUGGGACUGAGAUACGGCCCAGACUCCUACGGGAGGGAGCAGUGGGGAAUAUUGAACAAUGGGCGGAAGCCUGAUGCAGAAACGCCGCGGGCGGGAUGACGGCCUUCGGGUUGUAAAACGCGUUCAGCAGGGGCGGAGCUUGUGGUGACGGUUCCUGCAGAAGAAGCACCGGCUAACUACGUG
RNAcentral lists this ribosomal RNA (465 nucleotides) under uncultured bacterium. RNAcentral's name for it is "partial 16S ribosomal RNA". It matches the Rfam family "Bacterial small subunit ribosomal RNA", at positions 28 to 507 of the family's 1533-position model. The record is from RNAcentral.